Molecule: RNase P RNA, 198 nt
Filed under: Ophiophagus hannah (king cobra)
Lineage: Eukaryota; Metazoa; Chordata; Lepidosauria; Squamata; Elapidae
Description: Nuclear RNase P
Rfam family: Nuclear RNase P
About the family: Ribonuclease P (RNase P) is a ubiquitous endoribonuclease, found in archaea, bacteria and eukarya as well as chloroplasts and mitochondria. Its best characterised activity is the generation of mature 5'-ends of tRNAs by cleaving the 5'-leader elements of precursor-tRNAs.
Source: Rfam by way of RNAcentral
CUCGGAGGAAGCUCUCUGUAGAGGCCAUGUGCUGGGUGUCCAUCACCCUUUGUCCCGCCUCUGGGAAGGUCUGAGAGAAGGGCCAAGUUUGCCACCCUAGCAGGGUGCCACCUUCUAAAGGUGAGUGAGUUCCCAGCAAUGCGGGUCUCCGAUCCAGCCCUAGAAUUUGAGGCAGGAGAAGUGGUGAGGGGCCCUCGG